AGUGAACGCUGGCGGUAGGCCUAACACAUGCAAGUCGAACGAGUGGCGGAUGGGUGAGGAAUACACCGUAAUCUACUUUGUCGUGGGGGUUAACGUAGGGAUACUUACGCUAAUACCGCAUACGUUUGAAGGAGCCGCUGUCGGAUUAGUUAGUUGGCGGGGUGAAGGCGCACCCAGGCAACGAUCCGUAGCUGGUCUGAGAGGAUGAUCAGCCAGCCUGGGACUGAGGCACGGUCCAGACUCCUACGGGAGGCAGCAGUGGGGAAGAUUGGGCAAUGGGCGCAAGCCUGAUCCAGCCAUACCGCGUGGGAGAAUAAGGCCUUCGGGUUGUAAAGCCGUUUUGUUAGGAAAGCGGUACCCGGAGAAGAAGCGCCGGCUAACUUCGUGCCAGCAGCCGCGGUAAUAC
This 406-nucleotide ribosomal RNA is filed under the name uncultured bacterium. RNAcentral describes it as "partial 16S ribosomal RNA". It matches the Rfam family "Bacterial small subunit ribosomal RNA", at positions 29 to 526 of the family's 1533-position model. The record is from RNAcentral.